Molecule: ribosomal RNA, 254 nt
Filed under: uncultured bacterium
Lineage: Bacteria
Description: partial 16S ribosomal RNA
Rfam family: Bacterial small subunit ribosomal RNA
Source: RNAcentral
GACGUAGGGCGCGAGCGUUGUCCGGAUUUAUUGGGCGUAAAGAGCUCGUAGGCGGUCUGUCGCGUCGGUCGUGAAAACUUGGGGCUUAACCCUGAGCUUGCGGUCGAUACGGGCAUGACUGGAGUUCGGCAGGGGAGACUGGAAUUCCUGGUGUAGCGGUGAAAUGCGCAGAUAUCGGGAGGAACACCAGUAGCGAAGGCGGCACUCUGGGCCGGUACUGACGCUGAGGAGCGAAAGCGUGGGGAGCAAACAGG